RNAcentral lists this ribosomal RNA (249 nucleotides) under uncultured bacterium. RNAcentral describes it as "partial 16S ribosomal RNA". It matches the Rfam family "Bacterial small subunit ribosomal RNA", at positions 111 to 353 of the family's 1533-position model. The record is from RNAcentral.
UAACACGUAGGUAACCUGCCCAUGUGCCCGGGAUAACUUCUGGAAACGGAUGCUAAAACCGGAUAGGUAGCAGACAAGCAUUUGACUGCUAUUAAAGUGGCUAAGGCCAUGAACAUGGAUGGACCUGCGGUGCAUUAGCUAGUUGGUGAGGUAACGGCCCACCAAGGCGACGAUGCAUAGCCGGCCUGAGAGGGCGGACGGCCACAUUGGGACUGAGACACGGCCCAAACUCCUACGGGAGGCAGCAUG